UCUAAAUCUUGAACUUCAUAAUGGAAAAGUCCCAGUUCUGUGCCAGCCGACAUCCAGUAUCUCCUCAUUCCUCUUAUUCAAAUGUCCCAAUAUCCUAAACCUUCGACAGCUGCGAGUGUCGAGCUUCUCUGAACAGUGCCGAUAUACUCAGAAACUACUGCUGUGAUCAUGACUGGACCGGUCUGGGUCUGACUGACCUCUAGGAAGAUCGGGUGCAAGAAGAGGCCAACAUGUUCCCAUUAACGUGGGCUGCAAAACAAACACAGAGUGCCAGAAGGCUGCUGAGAGGACACUGAAGCUGCUGCAGAUCAAGAUGAAUGACCAACACCAGAUUUCUGAAGUUGGCCGGCCGAAUCUUCAUCUCUGCAAAUUCAAUCGAGUGUUCGUGGCCCUUCCAGUGGAACCAGUUGAUCCCCUGCAGCAGAAAUACAGAGCACAGAUCAUCAGACAGAGAUAUACUGGAUCUAAACCAACAACCAACAGACGGACAUGGAGGGAAUCCUCCUGCAAAAAAAUCACAUUUGUUUCUUUAUUACACCAAAGAUGAGAGAUAAACAUCUGCAUAGACAUCAUAAAUGUUGGAGAGAGUGGAUCAUUUCACUCCUUUUCUUUUAGAAAUUAUCUUUGAGAUUUGGACAAAUGAAGACAUUUGAGGACGUCAUCUUGGGCUUUGGGAAACACCGAUCAACAUUUUUCACCGCUUUCUGACAUUUCAUAAACCAAACAACUAAUCCAUUAAUCGAGGAAAUAAUCAACAAUUGGGAAACCUAAUUUUGGGAAACUGAAUGUAAAGUGUGACAAAAAAUACUAGGAUAUAAGAUCCCCAUGAUCCAACCAAGUAUGGUACUUUUAAAUAUUUGGUCAAAAUACUGUUAAUAGCAAGUAAGAAAGCCAUUAGGACGAACUGGGGGACGUUAGCUCCCUGUAAAAGGAUCAAUGGCUUUUAAUUGUUGGAGAAAUCUUUGUAAAUGUAAAAAAACUGACACAUAACUUUAGACUACAAGAAGCACAACUUACGUUACUAACAUACAAGACUCCAGAUGUCGAUAUCAGAACAGAGCUGCCCUUCAACAGGACCGUAUGUCAAUGAACUUCACAGAAAGGUUUUUGGUCUGUUUCUUACUUUCACUGUUUAAUGUCGACAAUCAGUCAUCUUAACAACGGACGUAGUCACACGUGCAUCUUUACGCUGACUUCGCCGUCGCUAGCUCUCCCCGUCAGCUCCAUAUGUCCAUAAAUGUCAGUAUAUACAUGGUGCUCUACAAUCUUAGCAUCAGCUCGGCUGGUUUGA
Long non-coding RNA from Sebastes umbrosus (honeycomb rockfish), 1291 nucleotides. RefSeq lists it as uncharacterized. NCBI's taxonomy places the organism in Eukaryota, Metazoa, Chordata, Actinopteri, Perciformes, Sebastidae. The record is from RefSeq and is a predicted model, not a curated record. The transcript has 3 exons.